RNAcentral lists this ribosomal RNA (465 nucleotides) under uncultured bacterium. RNAcentral's name for it is "partial 16S ribosomal RNA". It matches the Rfam family "Bacterial small subunit ribosomal RNA", at positions 28 to 507 of the family's 1533-position model. The record is from RNAcentral.
GACGAACGCUGGCGGCGUGCUUAACACAUGCAAGUCGAACGGAAAGGCCCCUUUGGGGGUACUCGAGUGGCGAACGGGUGGGUAACACGCGAGUAAGCUGCCCUUGACUUCGGGAUAGCUUAAGUAAACUGGGGCUAAUACCGGAUAGGAAUGAUUUCUGCCUGGUGGGGGUUGGAAAGCUUCGGUGGUUUGGGGUGGAAUCGCGGCCUGCCUGGCUGUUGGUGGGGGAGUGGCUUACCCAGGAUUUGACGGGGGGCCGGCCUGGGGGGGCGACCGGCCACAGUGGGACUGGGAUUCGGCCCCGGCUCCGACGGGAGGGAGCAGGGGGGGAUAUUGCAAAAGGGGCGGGAGCCGUAUGCAGCAACGCCGCGGGCGGGAUGACGGGCUUCGGGUUGGAAACCGCUUUCAGCAGGUGCGGAGCUGGUGGUGACGGUACCGGCAGAAGAAGCACCGGCUAACUACGUG